GACGAACGCUGGCGGCGGGCUUAACACAUGCAAGUCGAACGGAAAGGCCCUGCUUUUGUGGGGUGCUCGAGUGGCGAACGGGUGAGUAACACGUGAGUAACCUGCCCUUGACUUUGGGAUAACUUCAGGAAACUGGGGCUAAUACCGGAUAGGAUCUCCUGCUGCAUGGUGGGGGUUGGAAAGUUUCGGCGGUUGGGGAUGGACGCGCGUCUGAUCAGCUUGUUGGUGGGGUAGUGUCUUAGCAAGGCUUUGACGGGUGGCCGGGCGGAGAGGGUGACCGACUGCGACUGAACUGAGACCCAGACUAAUACGGGACGCAGGACUGCGGAAGAUUACACAGUGGGAGGAAGGAUGGCGCAGCACAGCCGCGCGGGGGAUAACGGCCAUGGGGUAGGAAUCCACUUUCGUCUGUGCGGAGGCGUGAGUGACGGUAAUGGGUGAAGAAGCACCGGCUAACUACGUG
RNAcentral lists this ribosomal RNA (463 nucleotides) under uncultured bacterium. Its description in RNAcentral is "partial 16S ribosomal RNA". It matches the Rfam family "Bacterial small subunit ribosomal RNA", at positions 28 to 507 of the family's 1533-position model. The record is from RNAcentral.